UACGUAGGGGGCAAGCGUUGUCCGGAUUCAUUGGGCGUAAAGAGCGUGUAGGCGGCCAGGUAGGUCGGUUGUGAAAACUGGAGGCUCAACCUUCAGAGGUCGACCGAAACCAUCUGGCUAGAGUCCGGGAGAGGAGAGUGGAAUUCCUGGUGUAGCGGUGAAAUGCGCAGAUAUCAGGAAGAACACCCGUGGCGAAAGCGGCUCUCUGGAACGGUACUGAUGCUGAGACGCGAAAGCGUGGGGAGCGAACAGG
Molecule: ribosomal RNA, 253 nt
Filed under: uncultured bacterium
Lineage: Bacteria
Description: partial 16S ribosomal RNA
Rfam family: Bacterial small subunit ribosomal RNA
Source: RNAcentral